Long non-coding RNA from Strongylocentrotus purpuratus (purple sea urchin), 705 nucleotides. RefSeq lists it as uncharacterized. The record is from RefSeq and is a predicted model, not a curated record. The transcript has 2 exons. NCBI's taxonomy places the organism in Eukaryota, Metazoa, Echinodermata, Echinoidea, Camarodonta, Strongylocentrotidae.
GAAAGAGUUAAAAGAUAUGUUUAAUUCAGGUAUUGCUACCAACUGUUAUUGGCAGUGGUUUAGCUAGAUUAACAAUGAUGUGUUUUGGUUUAACUGCAAAUUUGCAUAAUUUGCAUAAUUUGCAUGAUUUGCAUAAAUUUGCAUAAUGGUUGAAUAUUGGUUUAAAACAAUAUACAUGUACAAGUAUCUACAUGUGGUUGUUGUUGUGAUGCUAUAAUUCUUAAAAUUAAGAUUAUAGGUUAAAUGAUAUUUCAGGUAAAUUUGUAUAGAAAACUUAGAACAAUUUCUUGCAAAAUUGACACUUCUGUUUUUUAGUUAAAGGGAUCUUAUCACCUCUUUGAUGAAGUUGAGUUAACUGAAUGUAAUACAGUGUACAUAGUGAAUGUUAGUUUAAAUGUUCAGUAAAGCUUCACAUUUAGGGGACCGGGAUGUCGUGUGUAGAAAGCCCUUUUGGUUAGAUUUAGGCAAGACUGUGACGUCACUAGCGAUAAAUAAGAAGCUAGUACUGAUUUGGCCGCUUGGAGGCGCUGUUAGGCGUGCUGCUAAUUUCCCUGUUUCGGAAAUGUUAUGUUAACCGGAGAUGCCAUUGAUAUUUGUCUAAUUUCGAUACAAGCCCAAUGAUAUUGAACCUGCAUUGUUUGCACGGUAUCUUCAUGGUUUGUCAAGUUCUGUCGUCGAUGGUGUCGAGGUGUUUUGGAAGUCACA